Molecule: ribosomal RNA, 497 nt
Filed under: uncultured bacterium
Lineage: Bacteria
Description: partial 16S ribosomal RNA
Rfam family: Bacterial small subunit ribosomal RNA
Source: RNAcentral
GAUGAACGCUGGCGGCGUGCCUAAUACAUGCAAGUCGAGCGAACAGACGAGGAGCUUGCUCUUCUGACGUUAGCAGCGGACGGGUGAGUAACACGUGGAUAACCUACCUAUCAGACUGGGAUAACUUCGGGAAACCGGAGCUAAUACCGGAUAAUAUAUUUAACCGCAUGGUUUAAUAGUAAAAGACGGUUUUGCUGUCAACUAUAGACGGAUCCGCGCCGCAUUAGCUAGUUGGUUAGGUAACGGAUUACCAAGGAACCGAUGCGUAGCCGACCUGAGAGGGUGAUCGCCCACACGAGAACUGAGACGCGGUCCAGACUCCUACGGGAGGCAGCAGUAGGGAAUCUUCCGCAAAGGGCGAAAGCCUGACGGAGCAACGCCGCGUGAGUGAUGAAGGUCUUCGGAUCGUAAAACUCUGUUAUGAGUGAAGAACAAAUGUGUAAGUAACUAUGCACGUCUUGACGGUACCUAAUCAGAAAGCCACGGCUAACUACGUG